CCUAGCCCCCAAUCCCUUCCUUCCCGAGCCCCGCGCCCCACGCCCCACUCCAUCUCCUCCCAUGCACUCCGCCGCCGCCAUGGCCCUCUCCUCCUCCCCUCGGUUUCUCUUCUCUUGGCAAAAGGACGGCCGGCGUUCAACUCGGCACGACGGCGUUCAACUUGACAAAAGGGUGACACCUUCCUUCCUCUCCAAAGCAAGGGAAGGGAAGGGGAGGGGAGGGGAGGCCCCAGAUUGAGGAGCGGAGCGAUGCCCAGAUCCGCAGCGGCACCGGCACCGGCGCGCCGUCGUCCACGUGGUCCUCGAGAGGAAGGCCAUGGAUGGAUGGGGGCGGAACCAUAGCCCCACACCCAUCCAUGGAUGACGACGGCGGUGGCCUUCUCUCGGUCGGGUGGGGAGCAAAGCUUGCGGUGGCCCUCGACGCCCGCGACGGGCUGCAGCACCCAGACUUCAAAGGCAGGCCAUCACAAUGGAAAUGGAAGGAUGAGCACCAUGGCGGGCGUGCAGGCACGGUUUACACAAACACAUCCUGUUUCAAUGGCUCAAACUGUUGGUCCUCCCAUGGCAAUGUUCCCUGCUGGUGUUCAUGGAGUUAGUCAGCAACUUUUUUAUGAUCUGAGAAAGAAGAGAAGAAGAAUCCUGAGGAAGAUUUUGGUGAAGAACAAGAUGGCUAAUCAAAUGAUGUCUCUUCACAAAACAUUGAAGAUACAUAAUGCGCUCUGGCAUGCACAUACUUGUUUCACCGCAACCCCCACAAAAGGAGCAGCCUGGUGAGGAGGGAAAGCAUCACCAAUAUGGAUGAUACAAUCCAACUGUUAUCUUUGGUGUGUUUUUGGAUGGACUAAUCUGAAGAUGCUGGCUAGCUUGCACUGCCAUCAUAUAGUCUAGAAGCAAGGGCAAGGAUUAUAGGGAUAAUAAAGGCAAUUCACCAUCCGGAGGAAAUGCCAACUAAUAUUUUUUGGUACUAUUUCUGUUACCGAGAUUCAUCAAACACCGAAGGAGGUUAGUUUUUACCCGUGCAACAAUGGCGGCCAUCGUGGUCUUGUUGGAGCCUCCCUUGCUGUGGAAAGUCACAGGCUUCAGGGAGUGCCGGCACAGCCUGAACAGGUGCCACCUACACUGGAAGAAAAAAAUAUUAUUUGAAUUAUAUAAAGUGAACCAUGCUACAAUGGAAAAGAACCAUGCGAUGAAAAAAGAAAGGCACAAAGAGCUGCUGGAUGAUGAUUUCGAUGAUUAUGACAGCGACCAUUAUUAUGAAAGCCUACCUUAGCAGAUUCUUCAGUACUGAAUUCGGACCCGUGGAGGAAGCAAUAGUAAUUAACUUUUCUAGGAGUACUGAAUUCGGACAUGUGGAUGAGAUUCCCAGAGUUAGUGUCAGAUCAUCAGUCUCCAAGAUCACCACUUACCGCCAAUAUCACUGAGAAUGCUCCUUAUAACACUCAGUCCACAUGGUGAUGCAUGCAGUGAGAGCAAUGUCCAAAGCCAGCAUGAUGAUGAGUGCAGCAGAAGCAAUGGCGAAAGCCUGCCGGAUGGUGAAUCCACCUCAAAUGGUACUUUAUGUGAUUACUGUGAGCAUACUAAAGUAUGAUUUGAUCGAGUCAUCUGCAGCAAAGCCUGAUUUGAUUGUGUCUGAACCUCCUGAAAAAAUCGAACAAGGACCAUUACAGAAGCCUGAUUUGGUCGAGUCCGCACCUACAAAGAAACUUGAUUUGAUUGAAUCCAGUACUCCUAGGAAGGCUGAUUUGGUUCAGCCUGGGCCUGCAGGGGAGCUUCAUUUGGUUGAGUCCAGACCUUCUAGGAAUUCUCAACUGAUUGAGCCUGGACCUGCAAGGAAGCUUGAUUUUAAUCAACCCUGACCAACAACAUGCUUUGUUGAUCAUCCUGUUGAAAGGCCAGCAGUCACUCCAAGCAGCUACGAGAAUGAAAUGAGAUUCUGCUUCCACUCACAGUGGGUCGUGGAUACAAGCAAGGGCGGCACCAUUUCCGGUUCCACAGCUCCGAGCUGCAGCGGGAGCUGCUGGGCCGCCUGAGAUGCAGAUGGAGGCGCAGCUCCUCCGAGCUGCCGGGUCGCUGAGAUGCAGAUGGAGUCGGAUCACCUCCGAGCUGCAGCAGGAGCUGAGAUGGAGAUGGAGCCGGAGCACCUUCGAGCUGCAGCAGGAGCCGCUCCGCUGCCAAGCUGUAGUGUGAUCCACCGCGAAGAUGGAGCCCAAGGUGUUCUCACUUCAGUACAGUGGGGAGAGGAACAUGAUGCAUACCUUGAACUGGUUGAUGGAACCAAGACCAGCAGUCAUGCUAGACACGUGGUCAGCGCUGCGCAUCGUGGUGGCAGUUGGUGAAGCAACUAUUGGCGGUGUUUUUGUCUCUUAGCACUUGGCAUGAUUGUAAUAUUCUUUAUCUUUGAGGUCUAUGAUGUUACUUGAACUGUAAUUCUCGUGGAGCCUUUUGGCUUCUGGCUUUAAAUAUGCUGUCCGGAUGCAUAUGUAUAGUUUCGCACUACGAACGCAGAUACUAUUGAUACUAAACUGCAUGCUUAAAACACUAUUAUUGUAUCUGACAUUAUAUACAUGUAACAGUACUCCCCUUCCGAACAUUAUAUUGUUUCCAUCUGAAAAC
RNAcentral lists this ribosomal RNA (2613 nucleotides) under Triticum aestivum (bread wheat). RNAcentral's name for it is "partial small subunit ribosomal RNA". Lineage: Eukaryota; Viridiplantae; Streptophyta; Magnoliopsida; Poales; Poaceae. The record is from RNAcentral.